UACGAGGGGUCCUAGCGUUGUUCGGAAUCAUUGGGCGUAAAGAGCUCGUAGGUGGCUUAGUAAGUCAGGUGUGAAAGCCCAGGGCUCAACCCUGGAAGUGCACUUGAAACUGCAUAGCUUGAGUACGGUAGAGGUAAGUGGAAUUCCUGGUGUAGUGGUGAAAUACGUAGAUAUCAGGAGGAACAUCGGUGGCGAAGGCGGCUUACUGGACCAGUACUGACACUGAGGAGCGAAAGCAUGGGGAUCAAACAGG
This 253-nucleotide ribosomal RNA is filed under the name uncultured bacterium. RNAcentral's name for it is "partial 16S ribosomal RNA". It matches the Rfam family "Bacterial small subunit ribosomal RNA", at positions 524 to 776 of the family's 1533-position model. The record is from RNAcentral. RNAcentral also lists the same sequence under 1 other name.